UUACGGGAGGCAGCAGUGAGGAAUAUUGGACAAUGGGCGCAAGCCUGAUCCAGCCAUGCCGCGUGCAGGAAGACGGUCCUAUGGAUUGUAAACUGCUUUUAUACGGGAAGAAACACUCCUACGUGUAGGAAUUUGACGGUACCGUAAGAAUAAGGAUCGGCUAACUCCGUGCCAGCAGCCGCGGUAAUACGGAGGAUCCAAGCGUUAUCCGGAAUCAUUGGGUUUAAAGGGUCCGUAGGCGGUUUAAUAAGUCAGUGGUGAAAGCCCAUCGCUUAACGAUGGAACGGCCAUUGAUACUGUUAGACUUGAAUUAUUGGGAAGUAACUAGAAUAUGUAGUGUAGCGGUGAAAUGCUUAGAUAUUACAUGGAAUACCAAUUGCGAAGGCAGGUUACUACCAAUGGAUUGACGCUGAUGGACGAAAGCGUGGGGAGCGAACAGGAUUAGAUACCCCGGU
Molecule: ribosomal RNA, 455 nt
Filed under: uncultured bacterium
Lineage: Bacteria
Description: bacterial SSU rRNA
Rfam family: Bacterial small subunit ribosomal RNA
Source: RNAcentral